AACGAACGCUGGCGGCAGGCUUAACACAUUCAAGUCGAACGCACCUUUCGGGGUGAGUGGCAGACGGGUGAGUAACGCGUGGGAAUCUACCCUUCUCUACGGGAUAGCUCCGGGAAACUGGAAUUAAUACCGUAUACGUCCUGAGGGAGAAAGAUUUAUCGGGGAAGGAUGAGCCCGCGUUGGAUUAGCUAGUUGGUGGGGUAAAGGCCUACCAAGGCGACGAUCCAUAGCUGGUCUAAGAGGAUGAUCAGCCACAUUGGGACUGAGACACGGCCCAAACUCCUACGGGAGGCAGCAGUGGGGAAUAUUGGACAAUGGGCGCAAGCCUGAUCCAGCCAUGCCGCGUGAGUGAUGAAGGCCCUAGGGUUGUAAAGCUCUUUCAGUGGGGACGAUAAUGACGGUACCCACAGAAGAAGCCCCGGCUAACUUCGUG
This 433-nucleotide ribosomal RNA is filed under the name uncultured bacterium. Its description in RNAcentral is "partial 16S ribosomal RNA". It matches the Rfam family "Bacterial small subunit ribosomal RNA", at positions 29 to 507 of the family's 1533-position model. The record is from RNAcentral.